Molecule: transfer RNA, 74 nt
Filed under: Candidatus Omnitrophota bacterium
Lineage: Bacteria; Pseudomonadati; Candidatus Omnitrophota
Description: tRNA-Gly
Rfam family: tRNA
About the family: Transfer RNA (tRNA) molecules are approximately 80 nucleotides in length. Their secondary structure includes four short double-helical elements and three loops (D, anti-codon, and T loops).
Source: RNAcentral
GCGAGAGUAAUUCAGUGGUAGAAUGCUAGCUUCCCAAGCUAGCUACGCGGGUUCGAUUCCCGUCUCUCGCUCCA